RNAcentral lists this microRNA precursor (84 nucleotides) under Bombyx mori (domestic silkworm). RNAcentral's name for it is "mir-2807 microRNA precursor family". It matches the Rfam family "mir-2807 microRNA precursor family". Lineage: Eukaryota; Metazoa; Arthropoda; Insecta; Lepidoptera; Bombycidae. The record is from Rfam by way of RNAcentral.
UUAACUCUUAUUUGUAUGGACUGUGAUCGUUUGCGUACGUUUGCCGCUAGGGGCGCUGUUCAAACUGCAUACAAAUUUGGGCUA